This 330-nucleotide ribosomal RNA is filed under the name Salmonella enterica. Its description in RNAcentral is "partial 23S ribosomal RNA". It matches the Rfam family "Bacterial large subunit ribosomal RNA", at positions 470 to 800 of the family's 2925-position model. RNAcentral also lists the same sequence under 1 other name. The record is from RNAcentral. Lineage: Bacteria; Pseudomonadati; Pseudomonadota; Gammaproteobacteria; Enterobacterales; Enterobacteriaceae.
AUACUCCUGACUGACCGAUAGUGAACCAGUACCGUGAGGGAAAGGCGAAAAGAACCCCGGCGAGGGGAGUGAAAAAGAACCUGAAACCGUGUACGUACAAGCAGUGGGAGCACAGGUUUACCUGUGUGACUGCGUACCUUUUGUAUAAUGGGUCAGCGACUUAUAUUCUGUAGCAAGGUUAACCGUAUAGGGGAGCCGGAGGGAAACCGAGUCUUAACCGGGCGUUAAGUUGCAGGGUAUAGACCCGAAACCCGGUGAUCUAGCCAUGGGCAGGUUGAAGGUUGGGUAACACUAACUGGAGGACCGAACCGACUAAUGUUGAAAAAUUAG